GUCCACGCUGUAAACGUUGCGAACUAGGUGUCGGGGGUAUUCACCCCUCCGGUGCCGAAGCUAACGUCUUAAGUUCGCCGCCUGGGAAGUACGGCCGCAAGGCUAAAACUCAAAAGGAAUUGACGGGGGCCCGCACAAGCGGUGGAGCAUGUGGUUCAAUUCGAUGCAACGCGAAGAACCUUACCUGGGCUUGACAUCCCGAGAAUCCCUCAGAAAAUGAGGGAGUGCCCGUAAGGGAACUCGGAGACAGGUGCUGCAUGGCUGUCGU
This 268-nucleotide ribosomal RNA is filed under the name uncultured bacterium. Its description in RNAcentral is "partial 16S ribosomal RNA". It matches the Rfam family "Bacterial small subunit ribosomal RNA", at positions 793 to 1055 of the family's 1533-position model. The record is from RNAcentral.